UAGUCCACGCCGUAAACGAUGUCUACUAGCUGUAGGGGUACUUGAGACCUUUGUAGCGCAGCUAACGCAAUAAGUAGACCGCCUGGGGAGUACGGCCGCAAGGUUAAAACUCAAAUGAAUUGACGGGGGCCCGCACAAGCAGUGGAGCAUGUGGUUUAAUUCGAUGCAACGCGAAGAACCUUACCAGGCCUUGACAUCCUCGGAACUUUCUAGAGAUAGAUUGGUGCCUUCGGGAACCGAGUGACAGGUGCUGCAUGGCUGUCGUCAGCUCGUGUCGUGAGAUGUUGGGUUAAGUCCCGUAACGAGCGCAACCCUUGUCCUUAGUUGCCAGCACAUUAUGGUGGGAACUCUAACGAAACUGCCAGUGCAAACUGUGAGGAAGGUGGGGGAUGACGUCAAAUCAUCACGGGCCCUUACGUCCUGGGGCUACACACGUGCUACAAUGGCCGGUACAGAGAGCAGCCACUUCGCAAGAAGGGAGCGAAUCUAUUAAAACCGGGUCUCAGUUC
RNAcentral lists this ribosomal RNA (509 nucleotides) under uncultured bacterium. Its description in RNAcentral is "bacterial SSU rRNA". It matches the Rfam family "Bacterial small subunit ribosomal RNA", at positions 791 to 1294 of the family's 1533-position model. The record is from RNAcentral.